ACUCAAAUGAAUUGACGGGGACCCACACAAGCGGUGGAGCGUGUGGUUUAAUUCGAUAGUAAGCGAGGAACCUUACCAGGGUUUGACAUCUCGGGAAUUUUCUGGAAACAGAGAAGUGCCGCAAGGAGCCCGAAGACAGGUGCUGCAUGGUUGUCGUCAGCUCGUGCCUUGAGGUGUUCGGUUAAGUCCGUAAACGAGCGCAACCCUCGUCCUGUGUUGUAUUUUUCACAGGAGACUGCCUUGCAUAACAAGGAGGAAGGUGGGGAUGACGUCAAAUCAGCAUGGCCCUUAUACCCUGGGCGACACACGCGCUACAAUGGCCGGUACAACGGGCAGCCAAGGAGUAAUCCGGAGCGAAUCCCAAAAACCGGUCUAAGUUCGGAUUGGGGGCUGCAACUCGCCCCCAUGAAGCUGGAAUCGCUAGUAAAUGCUUAUCAGCCACGGAGCAUUGAAUAUGUUCCUGGGUCUUGUACACACCGCCCGU
This 484-nucleotide ribosomal RNA is filed under the name uncultured bacterium. Its description in RNAcentral is "partial 16S ribosomal RNA". It matches the Rfam family "Bacterial small subunit ribosomal RNA", at positions 899 to 1397 of the family's 1533-position model. The record is from RNAcentral.